AUGUCCCCCCCGGUACUUACCGUUCCUGAACUCACAAGCUUGACGGCUGGGUUGGGCUGCAGAGCGGACAGGCCGGUGCGCACUACCAAGACACGCUCACAGACGGCAAGCGCAGGGGCUCACACACGGACGGACGGCAAGCGCACGGGCUCACGGACGGACGGACGGCAAGCGCACGGGCUCACACACGGACGGCAAGCGCAGGGGCUCACACACGGACGGCAAGCGCAGGGGCUCACACACGGACGGCAAGCGCACGGGCUCACGGACGGACGGCAAGCGCACGGGCUCACACACGGACGGCAAGCGCAGGGGCUCACACACGGACGGCAAGCGCACGGGCUCACACACGGACGGCAAGCGCACGGGCUCACACGACGGCAAGCGCACGGGCUCACACACGGACGGCAAGCGCACGGGCUCACGGACGGACGGCAAGCGCACGGGCUCACGGACGACGGCAAGCGCACGGGCUCACGGACGACGGCAAGCGCACGGGCUCACGGACGACGGCAAGCGCACGGGCUCACACACGGACGGCAAGCGCAAGGGCUCACGGACGACGGCAAGCGCACGGGCUCACACACGGACGGCAAGGGCAGGGGCUCACACACGGACGGCAAGCGCACGGGCUCACACACGGACGGCAAGCGCACGGGCUCACACACGGACGGCAAGCGCAAGGGCUCACGGACGGCAAGCGCACGGGCUCCGAGACAGUGAGAGGUUUUAUUGUGCUAUGUUGCUCUGAUACAGAGAAUGGAAGUAAAUAUUGGUCAUAACUGCCUCCAGAAUCCCGCCAGUCAUGGGAUAAAGAAGGCAGAAGGGAGGGAUUGAUCACAUCCGCCCUCAAAGGCAAGCUCACAUCGAGAGGUUCCACCACCACCCCCAUUCCGCAGGUCCAUCCUCUCGGCCUCGAAUCGUUUGAAAAAUGCAAGCAGUGGCCCUGACCUUAGUGAUCAGACAAUGAGGACUGAGGCCAGGACUCGUGCAGGCCCCUCGACAAGCCCAGCGGUGGCCACAUCAAGCUGCAGUGGCAUCCAGGGGUGUCUGCUGCAGGCUGGAGUGAAACAGAGGCUCGAGGCUCCAGAAAGGCGUCAGCACGUGGGGCUGUGGACAGAGCCACGUGGAAGCCCUCUCUGAGGACAGCCCGCUGCUGAGAAAGAUCUCCACAGGGAUUCUUCCGGAAUAAAUCACUCACCACCUUCUGAAGAAGACACUGAUACAG
This 1228-nucleotide long non-coding RNA is filed under the name Macaca mulatta (Rhesus monkey). RNAcentral describes it as "lncRNA (ENSMMUG00000058661.1)". Lineage: Eukaryota; Metazoa; Chordata; Mammalia; Primates; Cercopithecidae. The record is from RNAcentral.